AGUAAAAUUUUCAUCAAUUUCUAUGAUUAAAAACUGAUGAUUCUGACAGAAUAAUCAGACAAUUACAUGUGGCAUGCCAUGUGUAUCUCAUUUUAAUACACAUGGACAAUUUUUAAACCGUAAAAAUUAAUGAAUUUUUUUACA
Non-coding RNA from Gossypium arboreum, 144 nucleotides. The record is from Rfam. NCBI's taxonomy places the organism in Eukaryota, Viridiplantae, Streptophyta, Magnoliopsida, Malvales, Malvaceae.